Molecule: ribosomal RNA, 512 nt
Filed under: uncultured Glomus
Lineage: Eukaryota; Fungi; Glomeromycota; Glomeromycetes; Glomerales; Glomeraceae
Description: SSU rRNA
Rfam family: Eukaryotic small subunit ribosomal RNA
Source: RNAcentral
AGCAGCCGCGGUAAUUCCAGCUCCAAUAGCGUAUAUUAAAGUUGUUGCAGUUAAAAAGCUCGUAGUUGAAUUUCGGGGUCAGCAGGUUGGUCGUGCCACUGGUAUGCACUGGCCUUGCUGAUUCCUCCCUCUUGAUGAACCGUAAUGCCAUUAAUUUGGUGUUGCGGGGAAUCAGGACUGUUACUUUGAAAAAAUUAGAGUGUUUAAAGCAGGCAAGCGCUUGAAUACAUUAGCAUGGAAUAAUGAAAUAGGACGUUUGAUCCUAUUUUGUUGGUUUCUAGGAUUGACGUAAUGAUUAAUAGGGAUAGUUGGGGGCAUUAGUAUUCAAUUGUCAGAGGUGAAAUUCUUGGAUUUAUUGAAGACUAACUACUGCGAAAGCAUUUGCCAAGGAUGUUUUCAUUAAAUCAAAGAACGAAAGUUAGGGGAUCGAAGACGAUCAGAUACCGUCGUAGUCUUAAACCAUAAACUAUGCCGACUAGGGAUCGGAUGAUGUAAUUUUUAAUGACUCAUUC